AGUAACUGCGAGUGAAGCGGGAAAAGCUCAAAUUUAAAAUCUGGUGGCCUCUGGUCGUCCGAGUUGUAAUUUAGAGAAGCGUCUUCCGCGCUGGACCGUGCACAAGUCUCCUGGAAUGGAGCGUCAUAGAGGGUGAGAAUCCUGUCUUUGGCACGGACGCACCAGGGCUUUUGUGAUGCGCUCUCGAAGAGUCGAGUUGUUUGGGAAUGCAGCUCAAAAUGGGUGGUGAACUCCAUCUAAAGCUAAAUAUUGGCGAGAGACCGAUAGCGAACAAGUACCGUGAGGGAAAGAUGAAAAGCACUUUGGAAAGAGAGUGAAACAGUACGUGAAAUUGUUGAAAGGGAAACGCUUGAAGUCAGUCGCGUCGACCGAGACUCAGCCUUGCCUUGGCUCGGUGUAUUUCUCGGCCGACGGGUCAGCAUCAAUUUUGCCCCUCGGAUAAUGGCGAGAGAAAGGUGGCACCCUCACCGGUGUGUUAUAGUCUCCCGUCGGAUGCGAGGGUCGGG
Molecule: ribosomal RNA, 506 nt
Filed under: Russula nigricans
Lineage: Eukaryota; Fungi; Basidiomycota; Agaricomycetes; Russulales; Russulaceae
Description: eukaryotic LSU rRNA
Rfam family: Eukaryotic large subunit ribosomal RNA
Source: RNAcentral